This 279-nucleotide ribosomal RNA is filed under the name uncultured bacterium. Its description in RNAcentral is "partial 16S ribosomal RNA". It matches the Rfam family "Bacterial small subunit ribosomal RNA", at positions 28 to 308 of the family's 1533-position model. The record is from RNAcentral.
GACGAACGCUGGCGGCGUGCUUAACACAUGCAAGUCGAGCGGUAAGGCCCUUUCGGGGGUACACGAGCGGCGAACGGGUGAGUAACGCGUUGGUGACCUACCCCAAAGUGUGGGAUAACAGUCCGAAAGGAUUGCUAAUACCGCAUGUGGUCUUCGGGUUUAGAAACCGAUGACGAAAGCAGCAAUGCGCUUUGGGAGGGACCUGCGUCCCAUCAGCUAGUUGGUGAGGUAACGGCUCACCAAGGCGACGACGGUAGGGGACCUGAGAGGGUGACCCCC